This 363-nucleotide unclassified non-coding RNA is filed under the name uncultured bacterium. RNAcentral's name for it is "contains 16S-23S intergenic spacer region". The record is from RNAcentral.
UCCCGUUUAACACGGGCAGUCUCUUAUGAAAGAUAUAACAUAAGACAAGGGUUGCGCUCGUUCGCGGACCUAACCGAACACCUCAAGGCACGAGCUGACGACAACCAUGCAGCGCCUGUCACUAAGUUCCUUGCGGCACUCCACCGUUUCCGGCGGAUUCUUAGGAUGUCAAGCCUUGGUAAGGUUCCUCGUUUUGUGUCGAAUUAAACAACAUGCUCCACCGCUUGUGUGGGUCCCCGUCUAUUCCUUUGAGUUUUAAUCUUGCGACCGUACUUCCCAGGCGGAAUACUUAACGCGUUAGCUAAGACACUGGUGGGAUCGAUCCACCAACAUCGAGUAUUCAUCGUUUACGGCGUGGACUAC